CAAGCAGGCAUGCAUCAUUCCUGAUGUGUUCCUGCCAUUGACAGCAAGGAGGAUGUCGCCGCAUCUGAAAAACCAAAGGCAAAUACGAGAGAACAAUUGAACAAGAUAAGAGCCUGUAUGUGACUAACUGUGUCAAAAGUGGUCAGGCAUUUAUUAUUGUGGUGCAGGUCAAAGCUAAAUAAUUUCAAGGCCAAUGAAAUGAGCCAGAAUUAGAAAAAUCACAGAGAUGACACAAAGAAGAGUAUCAGUGGAAGGAGGGAUCCUGAGCUUUUCUUGUCAAGUAACACGGGAUGGGGUGUAACCUGCUGUAACAAGGCAGUGGAGACCAGGAAGGCAGGAGGAGAAGUGCUGGAGUGAAGCUGAGUAUGGGAAAAGGGGAGGAAAAGGGUUUUCCCCAAGUGUUUGUCACAUGUUUGUCAUCUUUGGUUCCCAAUACCCAAACUGGUAAUUAAAUGUUUUAACUUAAUUCCCCAAGCCAAGUCUUUUGCACACAACAGUAACGGGUGAGUGAUUUCCCUGUCUUUACUUUGACCCAUGAGUUUUCUUGCUCUCGUUCUUCCUAUGUGCUCUUGUCCUGCUGGGGGUGUUGAGCUGUGCAGGUGCUUGGUGCAGGCCAGGUCCAACCCAUCACACUGGCCAUAGCUAGAGAUUGACUCUUGACAGCAUAGGAGU
Molecule: long non-coding RNA, 672 nt
Organism: Harpia harpyja (harpy eagle)
Lineage: Eukaryota; Metazoa; Chordata; Aves; Accipitriformes; Accipitridae
Exons: 3
Source: RefSeq, a predicted model, not a curated record